UAGCGAAACCGCGAGGUCAAGCAAAUCCCAUAAAGUUGUUCUCAGUUCGGAUUGUAGUCUGCAACUCGACUAUAUGAAGCUGGAAUCGCUAGUAAUCGUAGAUCAGCAUGCUACGGUGAAUACGUUCCCGGGUCUUGUACACACCGCCCGUCACACCACGAGAGUUUGUAACACCCGAAGCCGGUGGAGUAACCAUUUGGAGCUAGCCGUCGAAGGUGGGACAAAUGAUUGGGGUGAAGUCGUAACAAGGUAGCCGUAUCGGAAGGUGCGGCUGGAUCACCUCCUUUCUAAGGA
Molecule: ribosomal RNA, 294 nt
Filed under: Staphylococcus epidermidis NIHLM018
Lineage: Bacteria; Bacillati; Bacillota; Bacilli; Caryophanales; Staphylococcaceae
Description: partial 16S ribosomal RNA
Rfam family: Bacterial small subunit ribosomal RNA
Source: RNAcentral